RNAcentral lists this ribosomal RNA (236 nucleotides) under uncultured bacterium. RNAcentral describes it as "partial 16S ribosomal RNA". It matches the Rfam family "Bacterial small subunit ribosomal RNA", at positions 118 to 347 of the family's 1533-position model. The record is from RNAcentral.
UGAGGAACAUGACCUUCGGCGGGGGAUAGCCGGCCCAACGGCCGGGUAAUACCGCGUACGACCACAUGGGGACAUCCCUGAGUGGUGAAAGCAGCAAUGCGCCGAUGGAGUGCCUCGCGGCCUAUCAGCUAGUUGGUGAGGUAACGGCUCACCAAGGCGACGACGGGUAGCUGGUCUGGAGAGGAUGGCCAGCCACAUUGGGACUGAGACACCGGCCCAGACCUNUACCGGGGAGG